UACGUAGGUGGCAAGCGUUGUCCGGAUUUACUGGGCGUAAAGAGCGCGCAGGCGGUCGUUCAAGUCGCGUGUGAAAGCCCCCGGCUCAACUGGGGAGGGUCACGCGAUACUGAUCGACUCGAAGGCAGGAGAGGGUAGUGGAAUUCCCGGUGUAGUGGUGAAAUGCGUAGAUAUCAGGAAGAACACCGAUGGCGAAAGCAGCUCUCUGGGACGGUACUGACGCUGAGGCGCGAAAGCGUGGGGAGCAAACAGG
Molecule: ribosomal RNA, 253 nt
Filed under: uncultured bacterium
Lineage: Bacteria
Description: partial 16S ribosomal RNA
Rfam family: Bacterial small subunit ribosomal RNA
Source: RNAcentral